AUUGAACGCUGGCGGCAGGCCUAACGCAUGCAAGUCGAGCGGAUGAAGGGAGCUUGGUCCUGGAUCCAGCGGCGGACGGGUGAGUAAUGCCUAGGAAUCUGCCUGGUAGUGGGGGAUAACGUCCGGAAACGGGCGCUAAUACCGCAUACGUCCUGAGGGAGAAAGUGGGGGAUCUUCGGACCUCACGCUAUCAGAUGAGCCUAGGUCGGAUUAGCUAGUUGGUGGGGUAAAGGCCUACCAAGGCGACGAUCCGUAACUGGUCUGAGAGGAUGAUCAGUCACACUGGAACUGAGACACGGUCCAGACUCCUACGGGAGGCAGCAGUGGGGAAUAUUGGACAAUGGGCGAAAGCCUGAUCCAGCCAUGCCGCGUGUGUGAAGAAGGUCUUCGGAUUGUAAAGCACUUUAAGUUGGGAGGAAGGGCAGUAAGUUAAUACCUUGCUGUUUUGACGUUACCAACAGAAUAAGCACCGGCUAACUUCGUG
RNAcentral lists this ribosomal RNA (484 nucleotides) under uncultured bacterium. Its description in RNAcentral is "partial 16S ribosomal RNA". It matches the Rfam family "Bacterial small subunit ribosomal RNA", at positions 30 to 507 of the family's 1533-position model. The record is from RNAcentral.